RNAcentral lists this ribosomal RNA (484 nucleotides) under uncultured bacterium. RNAcentral describes it as "partial 16S ribosomal RNA". It matches the Rfam family "Bacterial small subunit ribosomal RNA", at positions 28 to 507 of the family's 1533-position model. The record is from RNAcentral.
GUUGAACGCUGGCGGCAGGCCUAACACAUGCAAGUCGAGCGGAUGAAGGGGGAUCGAUCCUCGAUUCAGCGGCGGACGGGUGAGUAAUGCCUAGGAAGCUGCCUGGUAGAGGGGGAUAACGUUCGGAAACGGGCGCUAAUACAGCAUCCGUACUGAGGGUGAAACUGGGGGAUCUUCGGACCUCGAGCUACUAGAUGAGCCUAGGUCGGAUUAGCUAGUUGGUGGGGUAAAGGCUUACCAAGGCGACGAUCCGUAACUGGUCUGAGAGGAUGAUCAGGCACACUGGAACUGAGACACGGUCCAGACUCCUACGGGAGGCAGCAGUGGGGAAUAUUGGACAAUGGGCGAAAGCCUGAUCCAGCCAUGCCGCGUGGGUGAAGAAGGUCUUCGGAUGGUAAAGCACUGUAAGUAGGGAGGAAGGGCAGUAUUUUAAUACGUUGCUGUAUUGACGGUACCAACAGAAUAAGCACCGGCUAACUUCGUG